ACCCGGCAGCGAAUGUUCUCCGCAUCCUCGAUCCGAACGGCCAUGGCCUUCGCCGCCGUCCUCCGCGCCGGCCUCCUCGCGGUGCCCCCUCGGCUAUCCGCCUCCUCGCCGCCGCCAUUCUUCGCCACUUCGUCCUACGCCCGUGUACCUCGCCUCACAGCAGCUGCACGCGCCGUACGGUACCGGCGACGGGGCCGGCCGAGCCGCGCGGCCGCGGCGAUCACCGCGUCGCUCGACCUCACCGAGGACAACGUCAGGCUCGCCCUAGAAGAAGCCAAAUCCGAGCUUGGGCAGCUGUUCGACACGUCGGUGGGAAUCACAGGGCAAGUCGAUCUCGCGGAGUUGGACGGGCCGUUCGUAAAGCUCCGGCUCAAGGGCAAGUUCUGGCAUACCCGCGCCACCGUGGUAGCGAGGAUCGGCAACUACCUCAAGAACCGCAUCCCGGAAAUAUUGGAAGUGGAGAUAGAGGACGAGAAACAAUUGGAUGAUAGCCCGGCUGCUUUCUGAGCCGCUGGGCUUUAGUCUCUUCCUACUAAUACAACGGGCAGCUCUCCUAAAAAAACUGAAGUUGCGAAGUGAAUUUGAAGAGCCAAAUGUGCUUACUGUAGUAUUACAAAGAAGCAGCUGCCUGGUAUUGUUGCGGGGACCUACCUUUGGAGAAGUUUAGUGGUUUUUCUUUCUAGGAUCAUCAUCUUGUGUCUGAAAAGGGUCUAGCUAUGAUGCACUCUUGCCACUGAUUAUAUAUUUAAGUCACCACUGUCUUGCAAAAUAAUGAUAUGCUGAAGUUUUUGUGAUCAUCAUAUAUUGUUUGAAAUACUGUUUUCAUCAUUA
RNA transcript from Panicum virgatum (switchgrass), 831 nucleotides. RefSeq lists it as uncharacterized. NCBI's taxonomy places the organism in Eukaryota, Viridiplantae, Streptophyta, Magnoliopsida, Poales, Poaceae. The record is from RefSeq and is a predicted model, not a curated record. The transcript is spliced from 6 exons.